GCAGCGUUAGUGUUCAACGGUCAGCACAUCGGCCUUCCAAGCCGAGAGUGGCGGUUCAAAUCCGCUACGCUGCUCCA
Molecule: transfer RNA, 77 nt
Filed under: Caudoviricetes sp.
Lineage: Duplodnaviria; Heunggongvirae; Uroviricota; Caudoviricetes
Description: tRNA-Gly
Rfam family: tRNA
About the family: Transfer RNA (tRNA) molecules are approximately 80 nucleotides in length.
Source: RNAcentral